Molecule: non-coding RNA, 278 nt
Organism: Tinamus guttatus (white-throated tinamou)
Lineage: Eukaryota; Metazoa; Chordata; Aves; Tinamiformes; Tinamidae
Source: RefSeq, a predicted model, not a curated record
CCAGAAUGUGGAGCGUGUGUUGUUCACUGUCAUUCAAGGAGCAGUGGAUUACCCAGAUCCUAUUGCACAGAAGACUUGCUUUAUUAUUCUUUCUAAGCUGGUGGAGCUGUGGGGAGGCAAAGAUGGACCAGUGGGUUUUGCAGACUUUGUCUACAAACACAUUGUCCCCGCAUGUUUCUUAGCACCUUUAAAGCAAACGUUUGACUUGGCAGAUGCCCAGACAGUAUUGGCUUUAUCAGAAUGUGCAGUGACAUUAAAAACAAUUCAUCUCAAAAGGG